RNAcentral lists this ribosomal RNA (551 nucleotides) under uncultured fungus. RNAcentral's name for it is "eukaryotic LSU rRNA". The stretch from base 170 to 325 matches the Rfam family "5.8S ribosomal RNA". The record is from RNAcentral. Lineage: Eukaryota; Fungi.
UCCGUAGGUGAACCUGCGGAAGGAUCAUUCACGCAAUUUUUCGUGACGUCGACCGUCGUCUUCUGCGGAAGGUGGCACAAUUCUUAACGUUAUUGGAAAGCCGUUGUCAGUGGAAACACGUAACAGUGGAUUACCUCCGGCUUCCUCUAUAAUAGCUAACCAAAUCAUAAGCUCAUGACGAUUGAUGCCUUGGUUCGGAAAUCGAUGAAGGACGCAGCAAAGUGCGAUAAGCACUGUGACUUGCAGAAUUCAGCGAAUCAGCAGAUUUCUCAACGCAAAAGGUGCUAGGUAGACUUGUCUUCCUGGCAGGCACAUUUCAACGUCGUUACAUUUGCAAUCAUGAUUUUGUGAGAGCUUCCGCUCAAUCAAUUUCUUGAUGUGCAUUUUGUCAGGCAACUGACGGUUGAUCCGCUACUUCAACUGGCGGAUGGAUACAGCCCAGCAUUACUUACUUGUAUCUAAUGUUCACGGGUGAAAUACAACAUCGACUUGAAAUGUGCCAGACUACCCGCUGAAUUUAAGCAUAUCAAUAAGCGGAGGGAAGUCGGACU